This is a long non-coding RNA of Gekko japonicus, 229 nucleotides long. RefSeq lists it as uncharacterized. The transcript has 3 exons. NCBI's taxonomy places the organism in Eukaryota, Metazoa, Chordata, Lepidosauria, Squamata, Gekkonidae. The record is from RefSeq and is a predicted model, not a curated record.
GAGGAGAGAGAGAGAGAGGGAGAGCAUAUGACAAGACAGAAACUGUGCUUCUCUUAGCCCAUAAAGCACUUGGAAGACUUCUUUGCUUUCUCAUCAGGCAACUUGGAUUAUAUUAACCUGAGAAUCAUUGGUUAAAAUAUCAAGAACCGGCAAGAGCUGUGUGACUACUGAAGGAUGUCUACAAUCUUAAAAGUAUUUGGGAGAGAAGACAAAGAGAAAGAGAAGGAGA